UCUAAUAUGGCAGAAUAGUGCAUUAGAUUUAAGCUCUAAAAAUAAAGAAAUUCCUUUUAUUAGAA
This 65-nucleotide transfer RNA is filed under the name Rhomboptera ligata. Its description in RNAcentral is "tRNA-Leu". It matches the Rfam family "tRNA". Rfam says of the family: Transfer RNA (tRNA) molecules are approximately 80 nucleotides in length. Their secondary structure includes four short double-helical elements and three loops (D, anti-codon, and T loops). The record is from RNAcentral. Lineage: Eukaryota; Metazoa; Arthropoda; Insecta; Orthoptera; Tettigoniidae.